GUAAGCCGUGUGAGGGAAAACUUCAUGCACGGUUUGAUGAAGGGGGCGCUGGCAGUUCUAUUUCGC
This 66-nucleotide non-coding RNA is filed under the name Marinoscillum furvescens DSM 4134. The record is from RNAcentral. Lineage: Bacteria; Pseudomonadati; Bacteroidota; Cytophagia; Cytophagales; Reichenbachiellaceae.